RNAcentral lists this ribosomal RNA (535 nucleotides) under Hanseniaspora uvarum. RNAcentral's name for it is "partial large subunit ribosomal RNA". It matches the Rfam family "Eukaryotic large subunit ribosomal RNA", at positions 95 to 644 of the family's 3401-position model. The record is from RNAcentral. Lineage: Eukaryota; Fungi; Ascomycota; Saccharomycetes; Saccharomycodales; Saccharomycodaceae.
GGCGCGCCUCAAGCCCGGAUUUGAAAUCUGGUACUUUCAGUGCCCGAGUUGUAAUUUGUAGAAUUUGUCUUUGAUUAGGUCCUUGUCUAUGUUCCUUGGAACAGGACGUCAUAGAGGGUGAGAAUCCCGUUUGGCGAGGAUACCUUUUCUCUGUAAGACUUUUUCGAAGAGUCGAGUUGUUUGGGAAUGCAGCUCAAAGUGGGUGGUAAAUUCCAUCUAAAGCUAAAUAUUGGCGAGAGACCGAUAGCGAACAAGUACAGUGAUGGAAAGAUGAAAAGAACUUUGAAAAGAGAGUGAAAAAGUACGUGAAAUUGUUGAAAGGGAAGGGCAUUUGAUCAGACAUGGUGUUUUUUGCAUGCACUCGCCUCUCGUGGGCUUGGGCCUCUCAAAAAUUUCACUGGGCCAACAUCAAUUCUGGCAGCAGGAUAAAUCAUUAAGAAUGUAGCUACUUCGGUAGUGUUAUAGCUUUUUGGAAUACUGUUAGCCGGGAUUGAGGACUGCGCUUCGGCAAGGAUGUUGGCAUAAUGGUUAAAUG